GACGAACGCUGGCGGCGUGCUUAACACAUGCAAGUCGAACGGAAAGGCCCUGCUUGCAGGGUACUCGAGCGGCGAACGGGUGAGUAACACGUGGGUGAUCUGCCCUGCACUUCGGGAUAAGCCUGGGAAACUGGGUCUAAUACCGGAUAGGAGCCAUUUUUAGUGUGAUGGUUGGAAAGUUUUUUCGGUGUAGGGUGAGCUCGCGGCCUAUCAGCUUGUUGGUGGGGUAAUGGCCUACCAAGGCGGCGACGGGUAGCCGGCCUGAGAGGGUGGACGGCCACAGUGGGACUGAGAGACGGCCCAGACUCCGACGGGAGGCAGAAGUGGGGAAGAUUGCACAAGGGGCGCAAGCCUGAUGCAGCGACGCCGCGUGGGGGAUGACGGUCUUCGGGUUGUAAACUCCUUUCGCUAGGGACGAAGCUUUUUGUGACGGUACCUAGAGAAGAAGCACCGGCUAACUACGUG
This 465-nucleotide ribosomal RNA is filed under the name uncultured bacterium. RNAcentral's name for it is "partial 16S ribosomal RNA". It matches the Rfam family "Bacterial small subunit ribosomal RNA", at positions 28 to 507 of the family's 1533-position model. The record is from RNAcentral.